GACGAACCGUGCGAACGUUAUUCGGAAUCACUGGGCUUAAAGGGUGCGUAGGCGGGUCCGUCAGUCAGGGGUGAAAUCCCACGGCCCAACCGUGGAAGUGCCUCUGAUACUGCGGGCCUCGAGGGGGAUAGGGGCGUGCGGAACUCGGGGUGGAGCGGUGAAAUGCGUAGAUAUCCUGAGGAACACCGGUGGCGAAAGCGGCGCGCUGGAUCCCUUCUGACGCUGAGGCACGAAAGCCAGGGGAGCAAACGGG
Molecule: ribosomal RNA, 253 nt
Filed under: uncultured bacterium
Lineage: Bacteria
Description: partial 16S ribosomal RNA
Rfam family: Bacterial small subunit ribosomal RNA
Source: RNAcentral